Molecule: long non-coding RNA, 1176 nt
Filed under: Meleagris gallopavo (turkey)
Lineage: Eukaryota; Metazoa; Chordata; Aves; Galliformes; Phasianidae
Description: lncRNA (ENSMGAG00000022457.1)
Source: RNAcentral
AUGAAAAAGGAAUUCAUGACACCUGUAUUUUAUUUUCCAGUUGCUCACAGGGUGCAUCCUUGGACAAGUCACUUAGAUGCCGAUCCUGAAAGGUUUUCAAGGCUUCCAUUAAUUCCAAAGACAUCUUUAAAGGGAUGGUUAUCUGCCAGCACAACAGGAGCUGCUGCAAUUUGUUCUUGUUCCGGUAUUACUGCUCGUACAGAUAAUGAAUCUGCACCAGCAGGCGAUGAGCAGCUUCAGAGAGGUAUGAUGAAAAAUGAUAAUCAUCUUUCAUUUGUUUCUGGAACUUCCUUGUAUGCAAUCACAUGGGUGUGGGGACUUUCACAAAGGAAUGUGCACUUGGGCAGGGCUGUACUGCAACAGUUGCAAUUUCACUCUGAAACUUAGGGAAGAAGUAACCCUGUUGCUGCUUUGCUGUGUUAUAAUCUCUUAUUCUGACUAUCUAACUUGUCCAUCAGCAAUUUACAACCUACGCAUUGCCAGCAUGCAACCACUGCUGGAAAUACAGCUUUGUGGGAAGUCCAUUUAUAGUUCACCUCUUCAAAAACACUCAAAGCACAGAAACAUACUGAACUCAGAGCAAAAACAAAACAACAAUAUAUCGAUCCAAUAAAUGAAAUGGAUGUGUUCAUUUUUUCUUUUUCUUUUAAAGUUGUGGAGUUUCAGUGUGCCCUUGAGUCUUUCUCCUACUGCCUUGUAAGGGAAUUUGUACUCCAGGAUGUGGAUCAAGCCAAUCCCCAAUUUACCACCCAAGUAACAUGUUUUUUCCUAUCCUUGCUUGCAUUCUCUCCUAUAACAGUUUGCAGGCAAUUUUGCUGUAGAGUCUCCAGUACUCUGGCAAAUAAUAAUGCUGCUGAAACCAAAGCUCUAUUAUGAGGUGGUAUGUUGCUGCUCUUCACCUGGAAUUCAAGAUGUGAGUUAACAGCGACCAUCCAUUCCUUUCACACAUCACUGUGAGAGGAGGUUGUCUGCCAAGUUUAGUGUCUUAGUUUCUUGACCUGUACCAAACUUCUUAGGAAGCUGUCUUUAGUCUCGCAAAGGUACUCCUAUAUUAAAAUGAGUAACUUUUUUCUAUUAAUUUAAUUAUGCUUUAGGAAACCCUUUGUUUAAGUGUCUGAUCCAGGAAAUUGCAACAAGAAUAACAACACAACAACAAAAAAUUCAGUAAUAGUGAAA